UACGUAGGGGGCAAGCGUUGUCCGGAUUUACUGGGCGUAAAGCGUGCGUAGGCGGUUCUCCAAGUCCGUUGUGAAAGCCCCGGGCUCAACCUGGGAAUGGCAGUGGAAACUAGGGGACUGGAAUCUGGCAGAGGGGGGUGGAAUGCCGCGUGUAGCAGUGAAAUGCGUAGAGAUGCGGCGGAACACCGAUGGCGAAGGCAGCCCCCUGGGCUGAGAUUGACGCUCAGGCACGAAAGCGUGGGGAGCAAACAGG
This 253-nucleotide ribosomal RNA is filed under the name uncultured bacterium. RNAcentral describes it as "partial 16S ribosomal RNA". It matches the Rfam family "Bacterial small subunit ribosomal RNA", at positions 524 to 776 of the family's 1533-position model. The record is from RNAcentral.